GGUGAGAUGGCCGAGCGGUCUAAGGCGCCAGACUAAGGAUCAGCUUCAUCUGAAGCCGAAUUUGCAGAGCAAUCUGUAAUCUGGUCCUCCGGGGCGUGGGUUCGAAUCCCACUCUCAUCA
Mycena leptocephala is the source of this 120-nucleotide non-coding RNA. The record is from the annotation of a GenBank genome assembly. Lineage: Eukaryota; Fungi; Basidiomycota; Agaricomycetes; Agaricales; Mycenaceae.